GAGGUGAGCUUCACUGAACUUUUUAUAAAUUUUUUCAUUUAAAAUGUCUUUAAUUUCAAUCUUUGGAUAUCCUUCUCUAACUUUGUUUUACAAGUGUGUCACACCCAAAAGCUUCCAGAUUCUUUUCAUUUAUUUUUUAUAGUACUUUUGAAAAUUACUCUCUUGAUACUCUAUAACUUUUCAGAAGCAUAAUCUUAAAAAAU
Molecule: long non-coding RNA, 203 nt
Filed under: Elaeis guineensis (African oil palm)
Lineage: Eukaryota; Viridiplantae; Streptophyta; Magnoliopsida; Arecales; Arecaceae
Description: long non-coding RNA (EGUI_LNC063243)
Source: RNAcentral